CGGAGGGCCGCGUCCCGCGUGUGAAUACCCGUGUGUUAUGCGUGUAAUUUACAUGAGAAACGUGGAGGAUAACAGCGUUCUCGACGGCGUGAAAGUGAGGCGGUCUCUCAAGAGCGGUGACCGUGUGUUAGAAGUGAGUGCUCCGUGAAGGAGGCCGUAGGCGCAGCAACUGCAACUCAUACUUACCUGGCAGGGGAGAUACCAUGAUCAUGAAGGUGGUUUUCCCAGGGCGAGGCUUAUCCAUUGCACUCCGGAUGUGCUGACCCCUGCGAUUUCCCCAAAUGCGGGAAACUCGACUGCAUAAUUUGUGGUAGUGGGGGACUGCGUUCGCGCUCUCCCCUGACUUUAGCGGUUUAAAAAUAGACGUUUCUCCUUUAGAGCCUCCAGUAGGCGCUGCGUAAGCGCUAUAUAUUUGGUUUAGUAUAGACAUAAGUUGACUACUUUUUGUUUGUCAAGUCUCCAGUCCUGACUGCAUGCACACGCUGUAAAUGACGAUAAACCUAAAGGCUUGAGCACAUGCUGAUCUGAGAGUCAGAGUCAAGAAAGAUGUCAUUCACUCUGGCAGCAUCGAAUGUCGGCAGUGGCAGCACACAGUGUCCAGCACAUGGUGCCAACAGCUGUGACAAGCCAGACAAUCCCAAAGUAAGAAAAAAGCUGCAAAUUUAUGAGAGCCCUCAUCCAGUGGCUGAAGGAAGCAGAGACAGACAUCCACAGAUAUACACUGAGCUGAAAUCUGGAAUUUAGUUGAAGAGAGGAAGGAAUGAAGAUCGAAGGGGUCUGUACCAGGUUGGAGAAACCCACAGGAACAGUUGGCCUGAACAAGAAAGAGCACAUCGACCCCAGAUGCUGUCUGGGAGGCCAGUACAAGACUGAUCCAGACCCCUGAACAUGGAUGUCAAUAAGGAGGCCUCAGCCCUCCAAGGAGCCUCUGGUAGUGGAUUAGUAUUUUUCCCUGGUGCAAGAAGGGACUUUGAGAGCCCAUCCCACAUGAAGGGAUACACUCUGGCCCUGGACACAAGGGGAAGGGCCCAGGCCCAGCAAAGGAAGAUUUGAUGGACUUUGCAGAGCCCCAAUUGAGGGCCCUACCCUGCCUGGGGAGUGGUGGGUGGAUGGGGUGGGGGGUAGGUUGGGUGUGGGGGAGAAGGGAUGGGGUGAGGGGAGGGAGAGGGAGAAGGGACUUACAUGUGAAACAAGCUUGUUCCCUAACUUGAACUAAUAAAAAAAAUUAAAAAAAAAUAAAGAAGCUGGGUGUGAUGGGAGCGUGCCUGUACUUCCAGUACUGGGGAGACUGAGGCAGGAGAAAAUAUUGUAAGUUCAAGGCCACCAAGCUGUCAAGUUUGUGACCCUUAGGUUGGACAAAGUCUCUGAGCUGUCAUGGCAGGAUAGGCCCGACUCCUUCUCUAACCGCACAAGUCCACGUGCCCUGCACAGACCCCUGUGCAGGACAUCCACGGACCAUUUUGGGAACCGGCAGGGCACUGUGGAAGCCGACCAUGGAAGCUCUUCUCCAACCUCUGGUGUGACAGGCUGAGCCUCUCUCUAAGCCUCAGGGUGUCCGAACGACGGCAACUUGCAGCGGGACGCACGACUCACACCUCGUCCUCGACGGAAUUCCGCACGCCGCUCCGGGGCCUCCGCCUCCCGCUCGGGCUGCGGCCACGCCCCCGCGGCUUCCUGGCGAAGGUAAGGGAGCACGAGGCCCGGCACCGCCCUCCCUGCCUUCGUGCGCACGUCGGUCCAAGCGCGCGACUGCACCCACGGCGCCCUCCGCGGCCCGCCGGCCACCCGCGUGGGUGCCGCGACCGCGAACCACCUCGCUGGCGCGAGCGUCGCAGCGGCGGCGAAAAAAGGU
This 1852-nucleotide long non-coding RNA is filed under the name Cricetulus griseus (Chinese hamster). RNAcentral's name for it is "lncRNA (ENSCGRG00015034406.1)". The stretch from base 179 to 342 matches the Rfam family "U1 spliceosomal RNA". Lineage: Eukaryota; Metazoa; Chordata; Mammalia; Rodentia; Cricetidae. The record is from RNAcentral.